Molecule: ribosomal RNA, 497 nt
Filed under: uncultured bacterium
Lineage: Bacteria
Description: partial 16S ribosomal RNA
Rfam family: Bacterial small subunit ribosomal RNA
Source: RNAcentral
GAUGAACGCUGGCGGCGUGCCUAAUACAUGCAAGUCGAGCGAACAGACGAGGAGCUUGCUCCUCUGACGUUAGCGGCGGACGGGUGAGUAACACGUGGAUAACCUACCUAUAAGACUGGGAUAACUUCGGGAAACCGGAGCUAAUACCGGAUAAUAUAUUUAACCGCAUGGUUCAAUAGUGAAAGACGGUUUUGCUGUCACUUAUAGAUGGAUCCGCGCCGCAUUAGCUAGUUGGUAAGGUAACGGCUUACCAAGGCAACGAUGCGUAGCCGACCUGAGAGGGUGAACGGCGACACUGGAACUGAGACACUGUCCGGACUCCUACGGGAGGCAGCAGUAGGGAAUCUUCCGCAAUGGGCGAAAGCCUGACGGAGCAACGCCGCGUGAGUGAUGAAGGUCUUCGGAUCGUAAAACUCUGUUAUUAGGGAAGAACAAAUGUGUAAGUAACUAUGCACGUCUUGACGGUACCUAAUCAGAAAGCCACGGCUAACUACGUG